RNAcentral lists this ribosomal RNA (253 nucleotides) under uncultured bacterium. RNAcentral's name for it is "partial 16S ribosomal RNA". It matches the Rfam family "Bacterial small subunit ribosomal RNA", at positions 524 to 776 of the family's 1533-position model. The record is from RNAcentral.
UACGGAGGGUGCAAGCGUUAUCCGGAUUCACUGGGUUUAAAGGGUGCGUAGGUGGGUUGGUAAGUCAGUGGUGAAAUCUCCGAGCUUAACUCGGAAACUGCCAUUGAUACUAUUAAUCUUGAAUAUUGUGGAGGUCAGCGGAAUAUGUCAUGUAGCGGUGAAAUGCUUAGAGAUGACAUAGAACACCAAUUGCGAAGGCAGCUGGCUGCACAUAUAUUGACACUGAGGCACGAAAGCGUGGGGAGCAAACAGG